AGCUCCAAUAGCGUAUAUUAAAGUUGUUGCAGUUAAAAAGCUCGUAGUUGGAUCUCGGAUCCCGGCUCGCGGUCCGCCUUUGGGCGGUCACUGCCCGUCCGGAUCUACCUCCCGGUGUUUCCCUUGGUGCUCUUCACUGAGUGUCUCGGGUGGCCGGAACGUUUACUUUGAAAAAAUUAGAGUGUUCAAAGCAGGCGCUUCGCCUGAAUAAUGGUGCAUGGAAUAAUGGAAUAGGACCUCGGUUCUAUUUUGUUGGUUUUCGGAACGUGAGGUAAUGAUUAAGAGGGACAGACGGGGGCAUUCGUAUUACGGUGUUAGAGGUGAAAUUCUUGGAUCGCCGUAAGACGAACUACUGCGAAAGCAUUUGCCAAGAAUGUUUUCAUUAAUCAAGAACGAAAGU
RNAcentral lists this ribosomal RNA (400 nucleotides) under phytoplankton environmental sample. RNAcentral describes it as "partial small subunit ribosomal RNA". It matches the Rfam family "Eukaryotic small subunit ribosomal RNA", at positions 587 to 990 of the family's 1831-position model. The record is from RNAcentral.